Molecule: unclassified non-coding RNA, 21 nt
Filed under: Mus musculus (house mouse)
Lineage: Eukaryota; Metazoa; Chordata; Mammalia; Rodentia; Muridae
Description: oocyte_clustered_small_RNA6552
Source: RNAcentral
UCAAACCACCCAAGAUCACAU